UCCCGUGGUUUAUUGUGUCGCGAUCCCGGUUAACAAGCGGCCAAUGUAGUGCCGUAUUUUAUUAGAGUUUCAUCGUUGUCGCGUUAUUUUGGUGACUUUUUUUUUCUAUACGUUUCCAUUUAGGAUACUUUUGGGUAUGUAUGAAUUUGGUAUUUGUUUGGCAUUAGCAUUGAGGCGCAAAUAGACAUUUGAGCAAGCUUAAGCUUCG
Cinara cedri is the source of this 208-nucleotide non-coding RNA. The record is from the annotation of a GenBank genome assembly. Lineage: Eukaryota; Metazoa; Arthropoda; Insecta; Hemiptera; Aphididae.